RNAcentral lists this non-coding RNA (148 nucleotides) under Pan troglodytes (chimpanzee). The record is from Rfam by way of RNAcentral. Lineage: Eukaryota; Metazoa; Chordata; Mammalia; Primates; Hominidae.
GCUGGGCGUGGUGGUGCAAGCCUGUAAUCCCAGCUACUCGGGAGGCUGAGGCAGGAGAAUCGCUUGAACCCAGGAGGCAGAGGUUGCAGUGAGCCGAGAUUGUGCCACUGCACUCCAGCCUGGGUGACAGAGCGAGACUCUGUAUCAA